RNAcentral lists this ribosomal RNA (490 nucleotides) under uncultured bacterium. RNAcentral's name for it is "partial 16S ribosomal RNA". It matches the Rfam family "Bacterial small subunit ribosomal RNA", at positions 28 to 507 of the family's 1533-position model. The record is from RNAcentral.
GAUGAACGCUAGCUACAGGCUUAACACAUGCAAGUCGCGGGGCAGCAUGGGGGUUGCUUGCAAUCCCCGAUGGCGACCGGCGCACGGGUGAGUAACGCGUAUCCAACCUGCCCUUCACCACGGGAUAACCCGGCGAAAGUCGGACUAAUACCGUAUGUUGUCCAUUGACGGCAUCCGAUUUGGACGAAAGGUUUGGCGGUGAAGGAUGGGGAUGCGUCCGAUUAGCUGGACGGCGGGGUGACGGCCCACCGUGGCGACGAUCGGUAGGGGUUCUGAGAGGAAGGUCCCCCACACUGGAACCGAGACACGGUCCAGACUCCGACGGGAGGCAGCAGUGAGGAAGAUUGGUCAAUGGGCGUAAGCCUGAACCAGCCAAGUAGCGUGCAGGAUGACGGCCCUAUGGGUUGUAAACUGCUUUUAUGCGGGGAUAAAGUGGCCCACGUGUGGGUUUUUGCAGGUACCGCAUGAAUAAGGACCGGCUAAUUCCGUG